RNAcentral lists this ribosomal RNA (497 nucleotides) under uncultured bacterium. RNAcentral's name for it is "partial 16S ribosomal RNA". It matches the Rfam family "Bacterial small subunit ribosomal RNA", at positions 28 to 507 of the family's 1533-position model. The record is from RNAcentral.
GAUGAACGCUGGCGGCGUGCCUAAUACAUGCAAGUCGAGCGAACAGACGAGGAGCUUGCUCCUCUGACGUUAGCGGCGGACGGGUGAGUAACACGUGGAUAACCUACCUAUAAGACUGGGAUAACUUCGGGAAACCGGAGCUAAUACCGGAUAAUAUAUUGAACCGCAUGGUUCAAUAGUGAAAGACGGUUUUGCUGUCACUUAUAGAUGGAUCCGCGCUGCAUUAGCUAGUUGGUAAGGUAACGGCUUACCAAGGCAACGAUGCAAAGCCGACCUGAGAGGGUGAUCGGCCACACUGGAACUGAGACACGGUCCAGACUCCUACGGGAGGCAGCAGUAGGGAAUCUUCCGCAAUGGGCGAAAGCUUGACGGAGCAACGCCGCGUGAGUGAUGAAGGUCUUCGGAUCGUAAAACUCUGUUAUUAGGGAAGAACAAAUGUGUAAGUAACUAUGCACAUCUUGACGGUACCUAAUCAGAAAGCCACGGCUAACUACGUG